RNAcentral lists this unclassified non-coding RNA (445 nucleotides) under Hevea brasiliensis (rubber tree). The record is from RNAcentral. Lineage: Eukaryota; Viridiplantae; Streptophyta; Magnoliopsida; Malpighiales; Euphorbiaceae.
GUGGGAAAACUCAUACAAUGCAUGUGAGAUCCAGUCAUACCACGUCACUUUAAUUAGAAAUUGCUUUUCAGAUGUAAUUUAUGAUAUCUAAUAAUGCAUGCAAAAUUGAAUAAAAAUGCACUAAUAUUCCAUCUAUUUUGCUUUUCUAACAAAGAUUACCAAUUGAUUAUGCUUUCAGCCUGCUUAAUUGCCGCUAAUGUGUGUGUAACUUGGGUUCUAUUAUGACAUCUCACAUAUAUUUUUGUAUCUAUUGUAAGUCACAUGUAUAAGUCUAAUCCAUUGAUUGAUAGCAUCUGCGUCCAUCCUCGGUCAAAACUGGCACAAUUUCUACAUUCUACACCAUAAUACAUAAUAUCAUAUAAGGAUGUUUUAUAAACAAAAAUCAAGCUGUGAGUUUCAAUGCUAUUGUCUAUUAGUAAUUACUGAAUAAUCUCCCUGUGCUUAC